Molecule: long non-coding RNA, 1641 nt
Organism: Alnus glutinosa
Lineage: Eukaryota; Viridiplantae; Streptophyta; Magnoliopsida; Fagales; Betulaceae
Exons: 2
Source: RefSeq, a predicted model, not a curated record
AAAACCAGCUUUGCUUCAAGGAGAUGAAGCAGGCUGUUGGCCGGGUUUGGCCGGGGAAGAUACAGCAAAAGUGACUACCGGCCGGCGAUCCUAUUUCUUCUUCUUCGUCUUUAUCAACGUCUGAAGGGUAAGGGAGGUGACAGAAGAGAGUGAGCACACAUGGUCUUUCUUGCAUGCUGUGUUUCAUGCUUGAAGCUCUGCGUGCUUACUCUCUAUCUGUCACCCCACCACCUCUCUCUCUCUGUCUCUCUGUCUCUGUCUCUCUCUCUCUCUCUCUCUGUGAAUUUUGUGUCCAUGCCGGCCAGAUCCGUUAUGUUUGAUAUGCCUUGCCCUAAUUAUGUGGAUCUGUGGUUCUGUGACCCGAGCUCCCAGUUUAUAUAGCUCAUGUAGUUUUUUGUGCGUGUGUGUGUGAAGAAGUGCCACUUUUGUCGUUCAGAACCAAAAGGGGAAAAAAAUCAGUAACAGCAGAAUUCUUGGUCGUGUACUAUUUUUGUACUUUCAUCAAAACUGUUUAAGGUUUUGACUUGGUUGGCAUGUCAUAUAUAAUUGAGUUAUACCGUACCAUUUGAAGAACUUCUAUUCUUCUACAGUCCUGAUCUUUUUUCUUUCCUUUAAAAACAUGGACGUAAGGUGUCAAAUAUGACCUUUCAGGGUGAGUUUAUGGACAGAGGAAAAGAGAGAGAAAAAUAAAUAAAUAAAUACAGCAGAGAACUAUGCGCGAUGCCGUGGAUGGUUGGUUAUUAAUCUUGUUAUAUUAAUAUAUGUGAUUGCAAUAUUUUUGUUUUAAUUUAAUCUUUUGGUUAACUAAAAAUGGUUAUUAAUUAAUCUUUUGGUUAUAUAUUUAAAACUUGAAUGUGAACUUCUGAAUUCCUACAGGAGGAAGGUAUUAAUUAGACAUGACCUAAUGGUGAAAAUGUUGGAAACCAAAGGAGUUGAUCGACCUAUUAUAUAUCCUUCAAUUCUUUUCCCCCUCCCUUUCUAUGGCUGGACUAAUUAAGCCAUAAUCAGAUGUGUCUUCUUUUUUUCCCCCUUUUAUGUUCCUCUCUCAGUAAUCAAUGUGUGCUGAUAACAAGAAGCCAUGAAGAUGCAGAAUUAAUUCUUGGUGUUCUCCAACAUGCAUCCAACAGGCCGGAAAGGAGAAUUUUGGUGUUUUUUGAUACGCUGAUGAUUUCUGCUGGAGCUGGGAUCUGGAGCCUGAGAGACUGUUAGUCUUUUGAAGCAGUUUAAGGCUAGGUUGCUGGUUUUUUAGCUGUUUAUAAGAAGGUUCCUGUUCUGUUUGCUAUUGAGGAGUUUUGUAGCAGAAUUGAUGGAUUUUCCUUAAGUCUCAGGUUAAUUGUUGAUGUAUUUUUUUUUUCCUUUGCUGGUGUAUAGAGACUUCCUGUUGGUUGUAUUGAGGGGUAGUAUGAUGCUAUAGCUGCUGCUGAUGAUUUGAUAAUGUAGAUAAUUGAGUAGGGUUGUAGGGUGUGUGUGUGUAGCUUGAAGUCUGUGUUGUGAAUAUGGUUGUAUUAGGAUGCUGCUGCAUCUGAUGUUCUAGCUGAUGUGCUCGAGUGUGUUGGAUUUGUUAAUAGAAAUUCAUUCAUAAAGGAACUUCAUUUGUUCUCAAUUGCUUGUAAAAUCCAUGUUUAAUGGGCUUUUAGUGUU